This 439-nucleotide ribosomal RNA is filed under the name uncultured bacterium. RNAcentral describes it as "partial 16S ribosomal RNA". It matches the Rfam family "Bacterial small subunit ribosomal RNA", at positions 339 to 795 of the family's 1533-position model. The record is from RNAcentral.
CUACGGGUGGCACCAGUGAGGAAUAUUGCACAAUGGGGGGAACCCUGAUGCAGCAACGCCGCGUGGAGGAUGACGCAUUUCGGUGUGUAAACUCCUUUUAUAUGUCAAGAAAAUGACGGUAGCAUAUGAAUAAGCACCGGCUAACUCCGUGCCAGCAGCCGCGGUACUACGGAGGGUGCAAGCGUUACUCGGAAUCACUGGGCGUAAAGGACGCGUAGGCGGGUUGGAAAGUCAGGUGUGAAAUCCUACAGCUUAACUGUAGAACUGCACUUGAAACUUCUAAUCUAGAGUAUGGGAGGGGGAGAUGGAAUUAGUGGUGCAGGGGUAAAAUCCGUAGAUAUCACUAGGAAUACCUAAAGCGAAGGCGAUCUCCUGGAACAUUACUGACGCUAAGGCGUGAAAGCGUGGGGAGCAAACAGGAUUAGAUACCCUUGUAGUC